CGGUCGAUUGAGUCACCCACGCCAAGCUGCAUUGCAAAACAAUGAUAAAAAUAAGUUUCUUUGACACAAGAACGUUGGCGCCAUUAUGAAUUAAUUUUAGUAAGAAGCAUUUGAGGAUCCUACCUGACCGUACUUGUUCCAUCCCCAACUGUAUACUUGGCCGUCCUCUACUUUGACACACAAAGAGCACAACAAAAAUAAGAACUUGAGCACGUACAAAUUCAAGUGGCUUAAAGGGACAUUUUAAGGUAUAAAUUUUCAUCUUGCUAAUGUGUCUCUACUAUAAGAAGUAAUCUAGAGCCACAACUUUAAGGACAGCCUGUUUGGAUGAAUGUCUAUACUGCACUAAAGUUUUCCAAAUUCUAAUUGGAUGGGCAUAUUUCAUAGUCAAAGAAAACUGUAGAAGUAAACUCAAAAAAUAUCUGAUGUGAGUUCCGUAAUGGAAAAAUUCUAAUAUUUUCAAGUUAUACCUGUCAGAAUGGCACUAUGUCGAGCCCCA
RNAcentral lists this unclassified non-coding RNA (499 nucleotides) under Hevea brasiliensis (rubber tree). Lineage: Eukaryota; Viridiplantae; Streptophyta; Magnoliopsida; Malpighiales; Euphorbiaceae. The record is from RNAcentral.